This is a long non-coding RNA of Myotis davidii, 368 nucleotides long. RefSeq lists it as uncharacterized. The transcript has 3 exons. NCBI's taxonomy places the organism in Eukaryota, Metazoa, Chordata, Mammalia, Chiroptera, Vespertilionidae. The record is from RefSeq and is a predicted model, not a curated record.
UGACUUUCAGGCUGCGGCCUCAGUAGCAGCAGGAGAAGACUCUAUUGUUUUUGAGGCUUCAAGAGAGGAGGUGCUUUCCUGUUCCAAUGGACUUAGUGCCAGUGGCUGUGUAUAUGGAAGAUACAGAGAAGUGUUGGAACACUCCUGAAGGUCAUGAUGUCCUGUCAAGCAGAGAUUUGCAAAUCUCUUCUGCAAGUAUUUGUGGCUAAUUCUAGCAUCUUAAAGCCCUGUAAGCUAAUAUCUUCUAAAAUGCACUGUGAUAUUUGAAAUUCUACUUCCUACAUUACUCAAGGGAAACAAUGCACUUCACUGGUCUGGCUCAGGCUGAAAUUCAGAUUCUAUUAAAAUGAAUUCAUUCUCUACAGGAG